AACGAACGCUGGCGGCAGGCUUAACACAUGCGAGUCGAACGCCCCGCAAGGGGAGUGGCGCACGGGUGAGUAACGCGUGGAUAUCUGCCUUUUGGUUCGGAAUAACCCCGGGAAACUGGGGCUAAUACCGGAUGGUUCCUACGGGAUAAAGAUUUAUCGCCAAAAGAUGAGUCCGCGUACGAUUAGCUAGUUGGUGAGGUAAUGGCUCACCAAGGCGACGAUCGUUAGCUGGUCUGAGAGGACGAUCAGCCACACUGGGACUGAGACACGGCCCAGACUCCUACGGGAGGCAGCAGUGGGGAAUAUUGGACAAUGGGGGCAACCCUGAUCCAGCCAUGCCGCGUGAGUGAUGAAGGCCUUCGGGUUGUAAAGCUCUUUUGGCGGGGACGAUGAUGACGGUACCCGCAGAAUAAGCCCCGGCUAACUUCGUG
This 431-nucleotide ribosomal RNA is filed under the name uncultured bacterium. RNAcentral's name for it is "partial 16S ribosomal RNA". It matches the Rfam family "Bacterial small subunit ribosomal RNA", at positions 29 to 507 of the family's 1533-position model. The record is from RNAcentral.